Non-coding RNA from Clostridia bacterium BRH_c25, 73 nucleotides. The record is from Rfam. NCBI's taxonomy places the organism in Bacteria, Bacillati, Bacillota, Clostridia.
GCUGGUGUAGCUCAAUUGGUAGAGCAGCUGACUUGUAAUCAGCAGGUCGCGGGUUCGAGUCCCAUCACCAGCU